RNAcentral lists this ribosomal RNA (336 nucleotides) under Hippocrepinella sp. A32. RNAcentral describes it as "partial 18S ribosomal RNA". It matches the Rfam family "Eukaryotic small subunit ribosomal RNA", at positions 1218 to 1444 of the family's 1831-position model. The record is from RNAcentral. Lineage: Eukaryota; Foraminifera; Astrorhizida; Saccamminidae.
GGGAAAUCUUACCGGGUCCGGACACACUGAGGAUUGACAGGCAAUCAUGUGAAUUGUUUUUUUUUUUUUUUUUUUUUAAAAARAAAAWAAAAACAUUCACAUAUAAAUAUGCUAGUCCUUUCAUGAUUAUGUGAUAGGUGGUGCAUGGCCGUUCUUAGUUCGUGGAGUGAUCUGUCUGCUUAAUUGCGUUUCAUACUGGACUUAGAAAUCAAGUGUGUUUAUUUUUCUUGUUUGUAAGGACUCGUUUUUGUACGUUUGCGUGACCCCAUUUCUUUUGGGUGUGUUUCGCUUCUGUAUACAUCUCGUGUCCUUUAUAACAUUAUUGAGAGAUAUUUC